RNAcentral lists this ribosomal RNA (253 nucleotides) under uncultured bacterium. Its description in RNAcentral is "partial 16S ribosomal RNA". It matches the Rfam family "Bacterial small subunit ribosomal RNA", at positions 524 to 776 of the family's 1533-position model. The record is from RNAcentral.
UACGUAGGGGGCAAGCGUUGUCCGGAAUCAUUGGGCGUAAAGCGCGUGUAGGCGGUCCGGUAAGUCCGCUGUGAAAGUCGGGGGCUCAACCCUCGGAUGCCGGUGGAUACUGUCGGGCUUGAGUACGGAAGGGGCAACUGGAAUUCUCGGUGUAGCGGUGAAAUGCGUAGAUAUCGAGAGGAACACCUGCGGCGAAGGCGGGUUGCUGGGCUGAUACUGACGCUGAUGCGCGAAAGCCAGGGGAGCGAACGGG